AAGACUCUGUCUCAAAAAAGAAAGAAAGAAAGUGAACGAAUUGAGUGUGAAGAAGAAGUCUAAUCUUUUCUGUCAGAAGGGCCAGUAUUCCCGGGGCAUUGUGCCAGCUCCCGCAGAUGCAAGAUGAAGACUUUGCCCUUGCCCCUGAGUGGCUGGAGAGGACACAGACGGACAAGCACCUAGAUGAGAUGAGAGGUGUAGGGGUUGGGCUUAGCUCUGCCUGUGGGAACCUGGGAAGGCUUCAUCAGGAGGUGGCGCUCAAGUUCAACUGAAAAUAUGGAUCUCCCCAGGAGUAUCGAAGAUGACGCUGUGCCUGCCCUGUAUGAACCUUCUGAAAUGUGAGCAUCUUGGAUUCCAG
Nomascus leucogenys (northern white-cheeked gibbon) is the source of this 358-nucleotide long non-coding RNA. RefSeq lists it as uncharacterized. The transcript is spliced from 3 exons. Lineage: Eukaryota; Metazoa; Chordata; Mammalia; Primates; Hylobatidae. The record is from RefSeq and is a predicted model, not a curated record.